Molecule: unclassified non-coding RNA, 405 nt
Filed under: Bombus terrestris (buff-tailed bumblebee)
Lineage: Eukaryota; Metazoa; Arthropoda; Insecta; Hymenoptera; Apidae
Description: misc RNA ENSBTSG00005033997.1
Source: RNAcentral
UUUACGUAGCGUGCCAUUGCUGAAACCGCUACGGUUCAGCGAACACUUUUAUGAGCUUAAUGAUUCCGGAAAAAGCAUUAGACGCGCAUGCAAACUAUGUUAUGCAAAUAAAAGACGUCGAAUGGACCGAACAAAGGCACAAAAGAAUUUGAAAAAAACAACAACUUAUUGUCCAAAUUGUCCCGACCAACCUCAGCUAUGUAUAGAAUGCUUUAGAGUUUUACAUUCUAAAUAAUUUUUUAAUAAACCAUUUUCGUAUUACUUUUAUAACAAUUCAACAGUUUUAUUAUUAUGGAAUAUCUUUUCAAAUACCUACGACGAUCCUUCGCAAGUAGUCAAAUAAGAGACACCCGAAUAUGGGUUACGCGGCCUGACCAGAAAUUUUACUGACACCCGAAUACGGGU